Molecule: non-coding RNA, 73 nt
Organism: Lutzomyia longipalpis
Lineage: Eukaryota; Metazoa; Arthropoda; Insecta; Diptera; Psychodidae
Source: Rfam
UACUAAAGGGGAAAUGUUGUACGUCUUAUGUAAAUUAUAAGGUUCAUAAGCGUAUAGCUUUUCCCCUUUAGUG